RNAcentral lists this ribosomal RNA (498 nucleotides) under uncultured bacterium. Its description in RNAcentral is "partial 16S ribosomal RNA". It matches the Rfam family "Bacterial small subunit ribosomal RNA", at positions 28 to 507 of the family's 1533-position model. The record is from RNAcentral.
GACGAACGCUGGCGGCAUGCCUAAUACAUGCAAGUUGAACGAUGAUAUUCUCUGCUUGCAGAGAAUUGAAGAGUAGCGAACGGGUGAGUAACACGUGGGGAACCUGCCCAUGAGAGGGGGAUAACAUUCGGAAACGGAUGCUAAUACCGCAUAAUGCUUUGGACCGCCUGGUCCAGAGACGAAAGACGGCUUUUGCUGUCACUCAUGGAUGGCCCCGCGCCGUAUUAGCUAGUUGGUGAGGUAAUGGCUCACCAAAGCUGUGAUACGUAGCCGACCUGAGGGGGUGAUCGGCCACACUGGGACGGAGACACGGCCCAGACUCCUACGGGAGGCAGCAGUAGGGAAUCUUCCACAAUGGGCGAAAGCCUGAUGGAGCAAUGCCGCGUGAAUGAAGAAGGUCUUCGGAUCGUAAAGUUCUGUUAUUAGAGAAGAACAAGUCAAGGAGUAACUGUCUUGACUUUGACGGUACCUAACCAGAAAGUCACGGCUAACUACGUG